GCCCGCUUGGCGGAAUGGUAGACGCAUGGGUCUUAAACACCCUGGCCGAAAGGCGUGCCGGUUCGAGUCCGGCAGCGGGCA
This 81-nucleotide transfer RNA is filed under the name Albimonas pacifica. It matches the Rfam family "tRNA". From Rfam's summary of the family: Transfer RNA (tRNA) molecules are approximately 80 nucleotides in length. Their secondary structure includes four short double-helical elements and three loops (D, anti-codon, and T loops). Further hydrogen bonds mediate the characteristic L-shaped molecular structure. tRNAs have two regions of fundamental functional importance: the anti-codon, which is responsible for specific mRNA codon recognition, and the 3' end, to which the tRNAs corresponding amino acid is attached (by aminoacyl-tRNA synthetases). tRNAs cope with the degeneracy of the genetic code in two manners: having more than one tRNA (with a specific anti-codon) for a particular amino acid; and 'wobble' base-pairing, i.e. permitting non-standard base-pairing at the 3rd anti-codon position. RNAcentral also lists the same sequence under 1 other name. The record is from Rfam by way of RNAcentral. Lineage: Bacteria; Pseudomonadati; Pseudomonadota; Alphaproteobacteria; Rhodobacterales; Paracoccaceae.